GAUUGCAUCCCUGUAGCCACAUUUUUAAAAAGCAGAAACAGUCUUCAAAAUCUAGGAUGCACUUUGCUCUUCGAGCCCAUCUUAAAUCAGACCAGCCACAUAUCAAGUGCUCAGUGACCACACGGGGCUAGAAGUUGCCGACGGCCAACUAUGUCAUAGAGGCUUCCAGACACACCAGCAGUGUUUCACUUGGGGGCCACAGACCCCUAAGGCUUCACAAAAGAAUUUUGGGAACUCCAUUAAUUUCCCAGAAAAGAAUGAAGAUAACCUGUGACCUGAAUCAUGCACAGCUCUAGGAGCCCUGCUGUCAGUCCUCCCGGAUGGCAGCUUCCUGGGCCCAGCUCUCCCCACCCCACCCCCACCCCACCUCUGUCCCACACCACUGACUUCCCACUCUCCCCCAUGUAACUGGGAAGUUCCUUUCAAGCCCGGCUUGAAGAAGAACCAAAUGUUUUGGACACCAGCUCACUUAUGGUCAAGACACUUCCCCGAGUUCCUCUAAAGAUGCCAAAGUAAAGAUAACUAUGUUUAUUUCCCCCCCAAAGGAUGGAAAAAGAUUAUUCGUGCAACCAAUUUCAUAGUCUUGAUGUGAUCCCAAGCCAGCACGACAGGUUUCCCACAAAGCCAGUGUCUGGGAUCCUAUGAUUUCCAUCAACAAAAAUGUUAACGUUGACCAACAGCCACACUCACUUCAGGAUGAUUUAUUUGUAAAGGUUGAUAAAUCCCCAAGUAACCAAUUGUUUCAGAAAGAUCCCCUGAAGGGGUUGACCUGAGGAAUAAGCAUGGAUUUCCCUCUUGCUGGGUAGAUAAUGGGGAGCAGGGAGCACCUCUCACAGGCACUGAUGUCCUGGGAAGUCCUGACAUCCCCACUCUCCUGCCCUCCCCCCUGAGUGUGGCCCUCCACUCCAGGCAGGCCAGGCUCCCCUGGUCCCUAAGCACUGCUAGAGUACCCUAGCUUGAUACUCAUCAUCACUGUCCCCCUUUUCCUCUCUGCCCCUUCUUAGCCUUCAAGUCCCACCUCCUUCAAGAAGUUUCCAGGCUGCUUCAGCUCCCGAGUUUGCAGGUCCCUCCUCUGAUUUGCCCAAGCCUGGAUGACCUGCACUUUGUCCUCAGGCUCUGUGCUGGAAGCUGGAAGCCUGGGUUCCCAAGCAGGGCCAGUGUGGAGGUCCUGCACAGAAGUCCUCAAUACAGUUUUACUGAUCACUGGGUUUGAUGUGCUGCUUCAAGGAAGAGAGACCCUGGGAGUGACACUGGGAGGACACCCCCACCACAGGCAAGGACUGUGUCUUAUUCCAGCAUGGCAUCCCACCUGAAGCGGGCCCUCAUAGUAAGUGCUAAAUUAAUAAAUGUGUGAACAAGUUCACAGGUGCUUCACAAUCAUUUGUGGCACUGCGCACAUGAAGAGAGCUAUACCCAGACCUGCACAAAAGUAUCCUGAUCACAUACGUAACGCAGACAUGCAGACACGUUCAGUCGUCACAGGUUCCUACAAAAACCCUGCCUUUUCCAAUAUAAAAUUGCUCGCGUUAAGUGCUACACGGUUUUUCAAAUUUUAGUGAGAAGGGAAGAAAUAGUAAACUAUUUUAUAUCUAGAGUAAGGUAGAAGAUUCCAGUUCACACUUAGAUGGUUGGGGAAUUGGGAAAGCCCGGGCUGACAUGGAAUCCCUAAGACACGAAGGAUCAGCCCCGGGGCUGCCCCUCACCAGGCAAGGCCAUUGGGAGUCUCUGGACUUUUCACUCCCAGCAUUUUUGCUAGAUUGAGCCCUGGAUUACGCUUUUAGUCAAUAAGCACUAUCAACAAUCGGAAGGCAGAGUAGCUUAGUGAGUAAACUCCAGGGCAUGGGAGUCCAAACUGGGCUCAGUUUCCAUCUCAGGCACUGUACUAGUGAAUGUUCUCCAGAGAAACAGAAUGCGUAUGUAGACGCUGUGUUCAAGGGCCAUCUGGAAACAAAAUUCCUUCCUCCUAAUGGACCUCGGUCUUUUAAGAUCUCAACUGAUUGGUUGACGCCCAUCCACAUUAUGGAAGGUAAUCUGCUUUACUCAAAGUCUACUGAUUUAAAUAUUAAUCUCAUCUGCAACACACCGAUUGUGCACCCUCAAAAUUCAUAUGCUGAAACCCUCAUCCCAGUGGUGCGGUAUUGGAGCAUUAGGAGCUGGGGACUUGGGGAGGUAACUCAAUCAUGAGGAUAGAGCCCUCAUGAAUAGGACUAAUGCCCUUAUAAGAAAAGGCCAGAGAGCUGCUCACUCUGAGGAUGUUGCCAGAAAAGGGCUGCCUGCAACCUGGAAGACGGUUCUCCCCAGAACUCAACCAUGCUGCUACCCUGGUCUCAGACUUCCAGCCUCCAGAACUUUGAGAAAUCAAUUUCUGUUGUUUAUAAGCCACCCGGGGUUACAGCACUUGGUUAUAGCAGCCCCGAAGGACUAAGGCAUCAUCUAAAAAAUACCUUCCCAACAACAUCUACACUGGUGUGUGACCAAAUGAACACCUAGCCAAGCUGACGCAUAAAACUAACUAAGCCAUUUACUAGCUUUGCGAUUUGGGCCUCAGUGACAAUACCUGCUUUGUAAAGUUGGUGGCAGGUCAGGCAGGGGCGCACGCUUGAGUGCUGCACCCAGCACGUGGGGGAGGGGUCGGGGCCGGCAGUGGAGUUAGCCAGGGAGGCCAGGCCUCUGGAUUCUCAUGCACGUGUCAGGAGCAGCUGGGCCACCUUUCCAACCAGGUACAUGCCUCCUGCCGGGCUCGGUAGCAGGGACACAUCCUCAUGCUCACUCCUUCUGGCAACACUGAAGCCAUAGGUAGGAGUUGCCUCUCUCUACAUGGCCUGAUCACAGGGUCACUUUUGAGUCCCCCCUGAGGGCCGCAAUGCUAAUGCACUAGCUGAGGGGAGAUCAUAUUCCAUUCUGAAAAGGGCCAACUACAGGGACCUGUCUCUGUGCCUAUGAGAAGGAUCAGGCAUCACGAAGGCUCUCACUGGAGUUCACCUUGUACGAGAAAGUUAAGUCUUAAAAUACACAGUUUAUGGCAAAAGCACAAAAGGGAAUUAUCUCCCUAAGAAUUAAAGUUUCAGGGUGCCUGGGUGGCUCAGUCGGUUAAGGAUCUGAUUCAGUUUGGGUCAUGAUCUCCCAGUUCA
Molecule: long non-coding RNA, 3131 nt
Organism: Suricata suricatta (meerkat)
Lineage: Eukaryota; Metazoa; Chordata; Mammalia; Carnivora; Herpestidae
Exons: 4
Source: RefSeq, a predicted model, not a curated record